UCAGGAUGAACGCUGGCGGCGUGCCUAACACAUGCAAGUCGAACGAAGCUCCUGCGACAGAUUCUUUCGGGAUGAAGAUGCUUGAGACUUAGUGGCGGACGGGUGAGUAACGCGUGGGUAACCUGCCCUGUACUGGGGGACAACAGUUAGAAAUGACUGCUAAUACCGCAUAAGCCUACAGAGUUGCAUGACUCAGCAGGAAAAAUUCCGGUGGUACAGGAUGGGCCCGCGUUUGAUUAGCUAGUUGGUGAGGUAAUGGCUCACCAAGGCGACGAUCAGUAGCCGGCUUGAGAGAGUGAACGGCCACAUUGGGACUGAGACACGGCCCAAACUCCUACGGGAGGCAGCAGUGGGGAAUAUUGCACAAUGGGGGAAACCCUGAUGCAGCAACGCCGCGUGAGUGAAGAAGUAUUUCGGUAUGUAAAGCUCUAUCAGCAGGGAAGAAAAUGACGGUACCUGACUAAGAAGCACCGGCUAAAUACGUGCCAGCAGCCGCGGUAAUACGUAUGGUGCAAGCGUUAUCCGGAUUUACUGGGUGUAAAGGGAGCGCAGGCGGUCUGGC
Molecule: ribosomal RNA, 562 nt
Filed under: uncultured Bacillota bacterium
Lineage: Bacteria; Bacillati; Bacillota
Description: bacterial SSU rRNA
Rfam family: Bacterial small subunit ribosomal RNA
Source: RNAcentral